AUUGAACGCUGGCGGCAGGCCUAACACAUGCAAGUCGAGCGGAUGAAGGGAGCUUGCUCCUGGAUUCAGCGGCGGACGGGUGAGUAAUGCCUAGGAAUCUGCCUGAUAGUGGGGGAUAACGUCCGGAAACGGGCGCUAAUACCGCAUACGUCCUGAGGGAGAAAGUGGGGGAUCUUCGGACCUCACGCUAUCAGAUGAGCCUAGGUCGGAUUAGCUAGUUGGUGGGGUAAAGGCCUACCAAGGCGACGAUCCGUAACUGGUCUGAGAGGAUGAUCAGUCACACUGGAACUGAGACACGGUCCAGACUCCUACGGGAGGCAGCAGUGGGGAAUAUUGGACAAUGGGCGAAAGCCUGAUCCAGCCAUGCCGCGUGUGUGAAGAAGGUCUUCGGAUUGUAAAGCACUUUAAGUUGGGAGGAAGGGCAGUAAGUUAAUACCUUGCUGUUUUGACGUUACCAACAGAAUAAGCACCGGCUAACUUCGUG
This 484-nucleotide ribosomal RNA is filed under the name uncultured bacterium. RNAcentral describes it as "partial 16S ribosomal RNA". It matches the Rfam family "Bacterial small subunit ribosomal RNA", at positions 30 to 507 of the family's 1533-position model. The record is from RNAcentral.